This 486-nucleotide ribosomal RNA is filed under the name uncultured bacterium. Its description in RNAcentral is "partial 16S ribosomal RNA". It matches the Rfam family "Bacterial small subunit ribosomal RNA", at positions 30 to 507 of the family's 1533-position model. The record is from RNAcentral.
AUUGAACGCUGGCGGCAUGCCUUACACAUGCAAGUCGAACGGCAGCACGGGUGCUUGCACCUGGUGGCGAGUGGCGAACGGGUGAGUAAUACAUCGGAACAUGUCCUGUAGUGGGGGAUAGCCCGGCGAAAGCCGGAUUAAUACCGCAUACGAUCUACGGAUGAAAGCGGGGGACCUUCGGGCCUCGCGCUAUAGGGUUGGCCGAUGGCUGAUUAGCUAGUUGGUGGGGUAAAGGCCUACCAAGGCGACGAUCAGUAGCUGGUCUGAGAGGACGACCAGCCACACUGGGACUGAGACACGGCCCAGACUCCUACGGGAGGCAGCAGUGGGGAAUUUUGGACAAUGGGCGAAAGCCUGAUCUAGCAAUGCCGCGUGUGUGAAGAAGGCCUUCGGGUUGUAAAGCACUUUUGUCCGGAAAGAAAUCCUUGGCCCUAAUACGGUCGGGGGAUGACGGUACCGGAAGAAUAAGCACCGGCUAACUACGUG